This 385-nucleotide ribosomal RNA is filed under the name Salmonella enterica subsp. enterica serovar Infantis. RNAcentral describes it as "partial 23S ribosomal RNA". It matches the Rfam family "Bacterial large subunit ribosomal RNA", at positions 1332 to 1717 of the family's 2925-position model. Lineage: Bacteria; Pseudomonadati; Pseudomonadota; Gammaproteobacteria; Enterobacterales; Enterobacteriaceae. The record is from RNAcentral.
GCUCGCCGGAAGACCAAGGGUUCCUGUCCAACGUUAAUCGGGGCAGGGUGAGUCGACCCCUAAGGCGAGGCCGAAAGGCGUAGUCGAUGGGAAACGGGUUUAUAUUCCCGUACUUGGUGUUACUGCGAAGGGGGGACGGAGAAGGCUAUGUUGGCCGGGCGACGGUUGUCCCGGUUUAAGAGUGUAGGCUGGUGUUCCAGGUAAAUCCGGUUCACUUUAACACUGAGGCGUGAUGACGAGGCACUACGGUGCUGAAGCAACAAAUGCCCUGCUUCCAGGAAAAGCCUCUAAGCAUCAGGUAACAUCAAAUCGUACCCCAAACCGACACAGGUGGUCAGGUAGAGAAUACCAAGGCGCUUGAGAGAACUCGGGUGAAGGAACUAGG